RNAcentral lists this unclassified non-coding RNA (336 nucleotides) under soil metagenome. Its description in RNAcentral is "partial contains 5.8S ribosomal RNA, internal transcribed spacer 2, and large subunit ribosomal RNA". The stretch from base 1 to 120 matches the Rfam family "5.8S ribosomal RNA", at positions 35 to 154 of the family's 154-position model. The record is from RNAcentral.
GAUGAAGAACGUAGCGAAAUGCGAUAAGUAAUGUGAAUUGCAGAAUUCAGUGAAUCAUCGAAUCUUUGAACGCACAUUGCGCCCGCCAGUAUUCUGGCGGGCAUGCCUGUUCGAGCGUCAUUUCAACCAUCAAGCCCCCGGCUUGUGUUGGGGACCUGCGGCUGCCGCAGGCCCUGAAAAGCAGUGGCGGGCUCGCUGUCACACCGAGCGUAGUAGCAUACAUCUCGCUCUGGGCGUGCUGCGGGUUCCGGCCGUUAAACCACCUUCAUAACCCAAGGUUGACCUCGGAACAGGUAGGAAGACCCGCUGAACUUAAGCAUAUCAAUAAGCGGAGGA